AUUGAACGCUGGCGGAAUGCUUUACACAUGCAAGUCGAACGGCAGCACGGGGCAACCUGGUGGCGAGUGGCGAACGGGUGAGUAAUACAUCGGAACGUGCCCAAUCGUGGGGGAUAACGUAGCGAAAGUUACGCUAAUACCGCAUACGAUCUACGGAUGAAAGCGGGGGAUCGCAAGACCUCGCGCGAAUGGAGCGGCCGAUGUCAGAUUAGGUAGUUGGUGGGGUAAAGGCUCACCAAGCCAACGAUCUGUAGCUGGUCUGAGAGGACGACCAGCCACACUGGAACUGAGACACGGUCCAGACUCCUACGGGAGGCAGCAGUGGGGAAUUUUGGACAAUGGGCGCAAGCCUGAUCCAGCCAUCCCGCGUGCAGGAUGAAGGCCUUCGGGUUGUAAACUGCUUUUGUACGGAACGAAAAGGUCCUGGUUAAUACCUGGGGCUCAUGACGGUACCGUAAGAAUAAGCACCGGCUAACUACGUGCCAGCAGCCGCGGUAAUACGUAGGGUGCAAGCGUUAAUCGGAAUUACUGGGCGUAAAGCGUGCGCAGGCGGUCUUGUAAGACAGAGGUGAAAUCCCCGGGCUCAACCUGGGAACUGCCUUUGUGACUGCAAGGCUGGAGUACGGCAGAGGGGGAUGGAAUUCCGCGUGUAGCAGUGAAAUGCGUAGAUAUGCGGAGGAACACCGAUGGCGAAGGCAAUCCCCUGGGCCUGUACUGACGCUCAUGCACGAAAGCGUGGGGAGCAAACAGGAUUAGAUACCCUGGUAGUCCACGCCCUAAACGAUGUCAACUGGUUGUUGGGUCUUCACUGACUCAGUAACGAAGCUAACGSGUGAAGUGACCGCCUGGGGAGUACGGCCGC
RNAcentral lists this ribosomal RNA (862 nucleotides) under uncultured bacterium. RNAcentral's name for it is "bacterial SSU rRNA". It matches the Rfam family "Bacterial small subunit ribosomal RNA", at positions 28 to 889 of the family's 1533-position model. The record is from RNAcentral.